RNAcentral lists this unclassified non-coding RNA (385 nucleotides) under uncultured Phycisphaeraceae bacterium. Its description in RNAcentral is "contains 16S-23S intergenic spacer region". Lineage: Bacteria; Pseudomonadati; Planctomycetota; Phycisphaerae; Phycisphaerales; Phycisphaeraceae. The record is from RNAcentral.
UCCGGUUUGACACCGGCAGUCUCGCUAGAGUACUCGGCAUUACCCGUGAGCAACUAACGACAGGGGUUGCGCUCGUUAAGGGACUUAACCCGACACUUCACAGCACGAGCUGACGACAGCCAUGCAGCACCUGUGCACGUUCCGGCCUUGCGGCUGUGGCCCCGCUUUCACGGGGUUAAUACGUACAUGUCAAGCCCAGGUAAGGUUCUUCGCGUUGCCUCGAAUUAAGCAACAUGCUCCACCGCUUGUGUGAGCCCCCGUCAAUUCAUUUGAGUUUUAGCCUUGCGGCCGUACUCCCCAGGCGGAGUGCUUAACGCGUUAGCUGCGGCACGGAGAUCGUGGAAAGAUUUCCACACCUAGCGCCCAACGUUUACGGCGUGGACUA